CAGGGAGACAACAAAAUGUUUAAUAUUAUUAUUUUGUCACCUUAGGUCGAUCGGUAUCUCACGUUCUUAAUUUAUUAAGAAUUUUAUUUCCUAAGUUUUUCUAGGUCACACCCAUUAUUUUUCCUGGGCCAUUAGCUCAGGUGGUUAGAGCGCACCCCUGAUAAGGGUGAGGUCCCUGGUUCAAGUCCAGGAUGGCCCAUAUCUCUAUGUUGGGGGUAUAGCUCAGUUGGUAGAGCGCCUGCUUUGCAAGCAGGAUGUCAGCGGUUCGAGUCCGCUUACCUCCACUGAUUACCACCUCUUCCAUAAUUUGUAUUAGGGAAAUGUUUUGAGUAGUGAUCAAAUUCUGAACGAAUCUAGCUUCCUAAUGAAACCAUUAAGACGCUGGACUCAUUGAAUUAAUUUCAUUGUUUUCAGAGAACCUUGACAACUGCAUAGAUUAUUUUUAAAGACAAUAAGCAUCUUUAUGAUGCAGAUUUAUUAUUUGUGCGAAUGCAUUAAUAACAAUUCUAUUUAAGCUGAUGCUUCAAUUAUGAAGUUAUU
This 540-nucleotide transfer RNA is filed under the name uncultured Prochlorococcus sp. RNAcentral's name for it is "partial 16S-23S ribosomal RNA intergenic spacer". The stretch from base 212 to 284 matches the Rfam family "tRNA". The record is from RNAcentral. Lineage: Bacteria; Bacillati; Cyanobacteriota; Cyanophyceae; Synechococcales; Prochlorococcaceae.